CCUGAUGCAGCAACGCCGCGUGAGGGAUGACGGCCUUCGGGUUGUAAACCUCUUUUAGCAGGGAAGAAGCGUGAGUGACGGUACCUGCAGAAAAAGCACCGGCUAACUACGUGCCAGCAGCCGCGGUAAUACGUAGGGUGCAAGCGUUAUCCGGAAUUAUUGGGCGUAAAGAGCUCGUAGGCGGUUUGUCGCGUCUGCUGUGAAAUCCCGAGGCUCAACCUCGGGCUUGCAGUGGGUACGGGCAGACUAGAGUGCGGUAGGGGAGAUUGGAAUUCCUGGUGUAGCGGUGGAAUGCGCAGAUAUCAGGAGGAACACCNAUGGCNAANGCAGAUCUCUGGGC
This 340-nucleotide ribosomal RNA is filed under the name Microbacterium sp. D44. RNAcentral describes it as "bacterial SSU rRNA". It matches the Rfam family "Bacterial small subunit ribosomal RNA", at positions 382 to 734 of the family's 1533-position model. The record is from RNAcentral. Lineage: Bacteria; Bacillati; Actinomycetota; Actinomycetes; Micrococcales; Microbacteriaceae.